UACGUAGGGUGCGAGCGUUAAUCGGAAUUACUGGGCGUAAAGCGUGCGCAGGCGGUUCGUUGUGUCGGUGGUGAAAUCCCCGGGCUUAACCUGGGAAUGGCCAUGGAAACUGGCGAACUGGAGUGCGGCAGAGGGGGGUGGAAUUCCGCGUGUAGCAGUGAAAUGCGCAGAUAUCAGGAGGAACACCGAUGGCGAAGGCAGGUCUCUGGGCCACUACUGACGCUGAGAAGCGAAAGCAUGGGGAGCGAACAGG
This 253-nucleotide ribosomal RNA is filed under the name uncultured bacterium. RNAcentral describes it as "partial 16S ribosomal RNA". It matches the Rfam family "Bacterial small subunit ribosomal RNA", at positions 524 to 776 of the family's 1533-position model. The record is from RNAcentral.